GCAGCACUGUAUGAAAACUGCUAGAAUAUCACUCACCACUUCCCAUAGAGAUUCUGUUUGUUCAUCUGCUUGUCCCACUGUGUGCCUUACACAUAGUAGGUGCUCUUGGAAUGUGUGUGAGAUGGAUUAACAUGAGAAGUGCUUCUCUGCAUGGUUUCACCAUUGAAGUGUUGAAAGCAACCAGCGCUCCUCCUUCCUAACCUCUAGGCUUCCAUCCAGCUGUGGGGACUGGUGUGGUGGAGGGGCCUAGUCUGAAUCUGGACAGGGGAGGUGCCUGCAAAUAUUUUUGUGCCUUGGGACAGAUGGAUGUCCAGUUUACUGUCUGCUUCCUCAGUGGUUCUAGAGCUGCUCAGUCGCAGGCUCCAGAUGUCUGCUUCAGAAUUCAAGAACACCUUCCUGAGCUGGGAAACAGAUCCAAGGAAAUAUCAGCCAGAGGCUUAAUUUUAUCAUCUGUGGAAAUGGAAGAUGUUAGAGCACCUAGGAGGGUCUUAACGUACAAAACACUGUCUUGAGGCUGCCUGCAGAACAGAGGGUCAUCAGCUUUCAUUAGAUUCUCAAGGGAGCCUCAACAGGCUACACCUGAACCCCAGGUUUGGGGCAUCUCUCCAGCCCUCCCAGCUCUGACAUCAUCAUCACCAUUAGUGGUGAUGUACCAACAACCCUCCCAAGAGUCCCAUAUCUACCUGACCUCAUUUGACCUUCACAGCAACCCAGUGACUCAGCUGCUAUUUGGCCCACAUUUUAUAAACCUGAGUCAGUGUGCUUUACCUCAGUGACCCAAGAACCCAGGUGCUAGAGUCAGGCCUGCAUCCAAAUCAGGGGUGGGAUCAGUGGUGUGCCCUGAACAAAUCAUUAUCCUCUUUUUUGUUUUAUUUUUUGGAGACAGAGUCUCACUCUGUCACCCAGGCUGGAGUGCAGUGGUGCAGUCUCAGCUCACAGCAACCUCUCUCUCCUGGGUUCAAGUGAUUCUCCUGUCUCAGCCUCCCAAGUAGCUGGGACUACAGGUGCGUGCCACCACGCUCAGCUAAUUUUUGUGUUUUAGUAGAGACAGGGUUUCACCAUGUUGCCCAGGCUGGUCUCAA
This 1082-nucleotide small RNA is filed under the name Pongo abelii (Sumatran orangutan). RNAcentral describes it as "processed transcript". The record is from RNAcentral. Lineage: Eukaryota; Metazoa; Chordata; Mammalia; Primates; Hominidae.